RNAcentral lists this long non-coding RNA (2892 nucleotides) under Panax ginseng (ginseng). RNAcentral's name for it is "long non-coding RNA (PGIN_LNC010579)". The record is from RNAcentral. Lineage: Eukaryota; Viridiplantae; Streptophyta; Magnoliopsida; Apiales; Araliaceae.
UUCCCAAAUUUUUUCCCUCCGUCUCUUUAUUUCUCUCCUGCUAUGUACGUUUUAAAAUUUGAAUGGGACCGAAUACAAAUGAGCCAUUCUUCUUUUUUUUUUUAAAUAGCUGAAUAGAUCUGAGCUACGUGUUUUUGCCUAAAUAACCCAUGCCAUAACUUCUCUGCAACUUCGAUCGUUUAGUUCUCCUCUCGAUUUUCCAUCGCCACUCUCUCUUCUUCGCUUACCUUUUAAUGCAGCUUUGAUUCGUCUCCAUCUCCACCGCAGCUUCGAUAUGAACGAAGGAGCACCACCCCCACCAUCAAACUGCGAUCUUUCCCCAUAUAUAGACAACAUACGCGGCAACGAUGGAGCACCACCGCCACCAUCUCCAUCUCCAUCUCCAUCUCUGCCGCUGGUAACCGCCAUCUUUUCCUACCUCCUUUCUUGGGUGAGUCCCUUCAAGUCCUAUUUUUUUAAUUUUAUGGAAUUUCGAAUUGAUUUGGGUAUUUUUGAAACUCUUAACUAUUUUAGGGAUCUAAUGAGUGAAAAAUUGGGGAUUGAAAUUGUAUUUUGGAAAAUUAACUUAUCGAGAUGUACAUUAUAUAAUAUUUUGGAACAUCUAAUUGAUUUGGAAGGUGAGUUUAGUUUUAAAUUUAAUUGGGUAUACUUUUUUACUUAGUUUGGUAAUGGAAGAAUAUUGGAUAGUAGUGCAACAAUGUGUAUUUAAGCUAUGCAAAUGUCUUCAACCCACGAUCCAUUUUACAUUGUAAAGGAGGAGAUUCAAGAUUCUGCAAGUUCAUUCCAAAUUCCUACUAUUUCAAACUUUAACUUUUAAAUUGAAAGGUUUAAUCUAUAGAGUGGUGCAUCACAUUAAGGGCCUAAAGGUAUGAAAACUGCAAAUUACUGUAUGUUAUUCUUAGAUUGCAAAAAUAAGAGAGGGAAUUUCUACUUUAUUCUCUCGUUCAGUUUCUAGUCUUGGCUGCCUUGCCUGAUCAUGUGUAUAGGUUCUCAACUAAUUCACUUAUAUUUGUUUAUCGAAAAUGACCAAGUAAUUGCAAUCUUAAAAUUUUAAAUCCUUAGGAUCUAAUAAUAUUAGUACUCUAGUUUUGUUGAGUUUUGCUGUACUACAAUAGUUUUACUAGAUUUCUUAAUUUAUCAUAAAUUAUAUAGCAUGCAUUAAUUCAUGUUUACUACAAAUCUGGAUUGCAUUUCAUAAAAACUUUAAUAAAGAAACGGAAAACUUGAAAUUUAUUUUUUGGAACAGGGAAUAGUUUCUAACUCUUCUUUUUUCCCAUUCAUCUAUAUGUCAGAGCUUUACUGGAAAAAGGUAACUUACACGACCAUUGUAUUGAUUAAGCAACUAAUAUAUUUCUAUGAUGAUUAAACAUGCUGCAUAUUUGAAUUCAUAAGUGUUGAAUUUUAUAUUUGAAUUGAGGCGAGAUGAUAGAAGAGGGAGCUUUAGCUUUGAAGAUGUACUUGAAAAAACUCUCAUAAUUAUGCUGGUUUUGAUGAAAUUUGGGUUUUGUUUCUUAGCUCCUUGAUAUGUAUAUGCUUAUGGAUGCUAUUUCAAGUUUGGAAGAGCAUAUGCUUUAUUGUGUAUACUGAAUCACAAGUUUUCUUAUGUAGUUAUAAUUUGGUUGGCCAGUUGGUUGAUAUCAAUUUAGGAAAUCGUUGGUUUUGAUGUGUAAAUGAGUGUUAUAUGGUGCUCAAAACAAUUAUUAUAUCUAUAUCUACUUAUGUAAAGGUUUUCAACAAUUUCCAUCGUGGUUAGUGAUUGCAGGCAAUAUCUAUAUAUUCUUUUUAGUAAGAACAAUAGAAAUUUUAUGCAGAGGUCUAGUAAUUAGUAAGGGGGUGCAACUUGUGUUCUUGCAAAACCCAGUCAACUUGGGAUACGCUUGAUUUUUCUACAUUGUAAUGUAUUAUGUAUUUUUGCUAUGACUGAAUGUAAUAUGGGCAGAAAUCAAUCAUUUAUAAGAUUCGUAAUAAGACUGUCAGUUCUUUUCAUAGAAAAAUGAAAUAUUAAAAUUUGAUAGUGAUUUUGUAGUUGGAGAGUGUUCUGAUUUUAGUAACUUGUAAGCGAGCUAAGCUUUAAGAUGAUGGUAAGUGUUACUCUAAACUUGUCAAAAUAAAAAUUAAAAACAUUGAAGAGAAAAAAGUAUAGUGAUGCUCUAUCAAAAUUAUGGUUACAUAUUGAGUGAAUCUCAUACUUUCUUAAAUGAUAUAUGAUAUUUUAAGUUUCAUGGUCAGAAUGACAAUUUUCUUUAAUAUUUACUUGAAUGAAUUUGUGAAUGAUCUUAUAAUCGUAGUCUUUACUUUUAACUACUUAACAUGACAUUCUUUUGAACAUUGUUGUCUAGUUUGUGGAGCUACCUGCAACUUCCACUUGUGAGAUGAUAAUCUUGCAUUGAAGCCACAAGAUAUCUGUAAAGGCGGUUGAUCUCUUUUCUUUCUGGUGCUUUAAAUUUAGUUUACUUGGAAAACAAUGGUGUUGUCGAUCUUUUUGACAAUUGAAAUUGGCCGUCAGUCUUGAGUUUACUUUACCGUUCCUAUUUGCUAUGACCAGGCCAAGUAAUAAUGAUCAUUGAUGUAUUUAUAAAUGGACUACUUUCAUUUGUCAUGAAUCAUUGCUGCACUUUGUUUGCAAAGGUGAUUAUUUUCUGCACUUGAGAAACUCGAGUAGCAGAAAUGAAUCUCAUCCUUUUUGCUUGAUAUGCAUGGUAGGAAGUAAUAUGAAAAAAAUGCGUUAUAGUUGGUUUCUAUCCUUUGUAAAUUGUAACCAAAAUGAAUCUCAUACUUUUUCCUUUUUGCUUGAUAUGUCAUGUAUUUUUCUAUGGGAAAUUUCCUUUAGGAACCAAAAUGAAUUGAUUUCGGUUGCCUUUUGUUAGGAAACCGUAUAUGGUUAUGAUACUC